Molecule: ribosomal RNA, 410 nt
Filed under: uncultured bacterium
Lineage: Bacteria
Description: partial 16S ribosomal RNA
Rfam family: Bacterial small subunit ribosomal RNA
Source: RNAcentral
UGGGGAAUAUUGCACAAUGGGCGCAAGCCUGAUGCAGCCAUGCCGCGUGUGUGAAGAAGGCCUUCGGGUUGUAAAGCACUUUCAGCGAGGAGGAAGGUGGUGAACUUAAUACGUUCAUCAAUUGACGUUACUCGCAGAAGAAGCACCGGCUAACUCCGUGCCAGCAGCCGCGGUAAUACGGAGGGUGCAAGCGUUAAUCGGAAUUACUGGGCGUAAAGCGCACGCAGGCGGUUUGUUAAGUCAGAUGUGAAAUCCCCGGGCUCAACCUGGGAACUGCAUUUGAAACUGGCAAGCUAGAGUCUCGUAGAGGGGGGCUAGAAUUCCAGGUGUAGCGGUGAAAUGCGUAGAGAUCUGGAGGAAUACCGGUGGCGAAGGCGGCCCCCCUGGACGAAGACUGACGCUCAGGUGCG